CUCACCAGGUCAGGACACGGUAAGGAUUGACGGACUGAAGGCUCUUUCUCGAUUCCGUGGAAAGUGGUGCAUGGCCGUUUUUGGUUGGUGGAUCGAUCCGUCUGGUUAAUUCCGUUAACGAACGAGACCUCGGCACUCCGAAUAGCGCGGCGGACGUCGCGGCCUCCGGGCCGUCUUCCGCACGAGCUUCUUAGAGGGACCGUCCCCGCCGGGGAAGGAGGUGCGAGGCAACGACAGGUCUGUGAUGCCCUUAGAUGUUCUGGGCCGCACGCGCAUUACACUGACGCGUCCAACGGGUGACUCCCGACCCGAAGGGGCCGGGGAAUCCGCAAGGCGCGUCGUGAUGGGGAUUGAACGUUGCAAUUGUUGUUCACGAACGAGGAAUUCCUAGUAGGCGCGGGUCAUCAACCCGCGCCGAUUACGUCCCUG
Molecule: ribosomal RNA, 429 nt
Filed under: uncultured eukaryote
Lineage: Eukaryota
Description: bacterial SSU rRNA
Rfam family: Eukaryotic small subunit ribosomal RNA
Source: RNAcentral